Molecule: non-coding RNA, 140 nt
Organism: Periconia macrospinosa
Lineage: Eukaryota; Fungi; Ascomycota; Dothideomycetes; Pleosporales; Periconiaceae
Source: the annotation of a GenBank genome assembly
CUCCGCUUGGUGUAGUUGGUUUAUCACGUUCGACUGUAAUAUCUGUUGUAAUCGAAAGGGUAAGUUCGUCAUCUAACGACAUCAACUAGAAUUUAACACUAACAAUUCAAUAGUCCCUAGUUCGAUUCUGGGAGCGGAGA